CCUACGGGAGGCAGCAGUGAGGAAUAUUGGUCAAUGGGCGAGAGCCUGAACCAGCCAAGCCGCGUGAAGGAUGAAGGAUCUAUGGGUUGUAAACUUCUUUUAUAUGGGGAUAAAGUGAGGAACGUGUUCCUUUUUGUAGGUACCAUAUGAAUAAGCAUCGGCUAACUCCGUGCCAGCAGCCGCGGUAAUACGGAGGAUGCGAGCGUUAUCCGGAUUUAUUGGGUUUAAAGGGUGCGUAGGGGGUUCAUUAAGUCAGCGGUGAAAGUUUGUGGCUCAACCAUGGAACUGCCGUUGAAACUGGUUGACUUGAGUGUAGUGGAGGUAGGCGGAAUGCGUGGUGUAGCGGUGAAAUGCAUAGAUAUCACGCAGAACUCCGAUUGCGAAGGCAGCUUACUAAACUAUAACUGACGCUGAGGCACGAAAGCGUGGGGAUCAAACAGGAUUAGAUACCCGAGUAGUC
Molecule: ribosomal RNA, 460 nt
Filed under: uncultured bacterium
Lineage: Bacteria
Description: partial 16S ribosomal RNA
Rfam family: Bacterial small subunit ribosomal RNA
Source: RNAcentral